AUUUACCAAGGUCACAGCAAAGCGGCCACCAUCAUACUCGAAGCAGUGUCGUAAGAUGACUUGUGAAUUUUACAUGAUUUCUUUGGCAUGCCUGGUUCUCACAACAAUACCAAUGUGCUCCAACGAUCUCCCGUUUUCAGAAGACUUUGCAGUGGGGAAGCGUCGCCAUGCAACUACCUUGUCAACAACCAUAACUACAACAUGGGGUACAACCUUGACGAUGGUAUCUAA
This 231-nucleotide ribosomal RNA is filed under the name Triticum aestivum (bread wheat). Its description in RNAcentral is "partial small subunit ribosomal RNA". Lineage: Eukaryota; Viridiplantae; Streptophyta; Magnoliopsida; Poales; Poaceae. The record is from RNAcentral.